RNAcentral lists this ribosomal RNA (778 nucleotides) under uncultured Staphylococcus sp. RNAcentral describes it as "bacterial SSU rRNA". It matches the Rfam family "Bacterial small subunit ribosomal RNA", at positions 62 to 822 of the family's 1533-position model. The record is from RNAcentral. Lineage: Bacteria; Bacillati; Bacillota; Bacilli; Caryophanales; Staphylococcaceae.
UCGAGCGAACGGACGAGAAGCUUGCUUCUCUGAUGUUAGCGGCGGACGGGUGAGUAACACGUGGAUAACCUACCUAUAAGACUGGGAUAACUUCGGGAAACCGGAGCUAAUACCGGAUAAUAUUUUGAACCGCAUGGUUCAAAAGUGAAAGACGGUCUUGCUGUCACUUAUAGAUGGAUCCGCGCUGCAUUAGCUAGUUGGUAAGGUAACGGCUUACCAAGGCAACGAUGCAUAGCCGACCUGAGAGGGUGAUCGGCCACACUGGAACUGAGACACGGUCCAGACUCCUACGGGAGGCAGCAGUAGGGAAUCUUCCGCAAUGGGCGAAAGCCUGACGGAGCAACGCCGCGUGAGUGAUGAAGGUCUUCGGAUCGUAAAACUCUGUUAUUAGGGAAGAACAUAUGUGUAAGUAACUGUGCACAUCUUGACGGUACCUAAUCAGAAAGCCACGGCUAACUACGUGCCAGCAGCCGCGGUAAUACGUAGGUGGCAAGCGUUAUCCGGAAUUAUUGGGCGUAAAGCGCGCGUAGGCGGUUUUUUAAGUCUGAUGUGAAAGCCCACGGCUCAACCGUGGAGGGUCAUUGGAAACUGGAAAACUUGAGUGCAGAAGAGGAAAGUGGAAUUCCAUGUGUAGCGGUGAAAUGCGCAGAGAUAUGGAGGAACACCAGUGGCGAAGGCGACUUUCUGGUCUGUAACUGACGCUGAUGUGCGAAAGCGUGGGGAUCAAACAGGAUUAGAUACCCUGGUAGUCCACGCCGUAAACGAUGAGUGCUAAGUG